This is a long non-coding RNA of Monopterus albus (swamp eel), 849 nucleotides long. RefSeq lists it as uncharacterized. Lineage: Eukaryota; Metazoa; Chordata; Actinopteri; Synbranchiformes; Synbranchidae. The record is from RefSeq and is a predicted model, not a curated record. The transcript has 2 exons.
CGUGAUGACGUAGUGCCGCUAAGCUUUUCUCACCCUGCCCGCUAGUAGAUCUGUCACAUUCUUUGGUUUAUCGCCGCCUCGGACACACCUCAUUUAGAACAGCCAUGUCUGACUUCUCAGAAGACCAAGUCGCCGGUGAGUUUUGAGUUUGCGUUUGGCAUUUUCCCAGUCCCACAUGUUUUCCAUGCUUUCAUUCUUGGUUUAGAUGACACUUUGUCCACUAUCAUCCUGCUGUAUGCCCGCUUGUCAGAGGUGUCGUGAUUAUAGCCUAGGGCUUCCUUUUAUUUCUGUACUGUUUCACCACUUUCCACUUGCAAUUGCUUGUCCUUUCCAGAUUGAAUUUAACCUGGAUCAGAUUCAUGGUAAGUCAGUCAAAAAAGGACGGCUUUGGCACAAAACUGAUGGCUAUCUCGGAGUGUUUAGGGUGUGAUUUGCAUGUUGGUUUUGGAUAAGCUAAAUUUGUUUUAAAUGUGAAUUAAUUUUGUUUGACACUGUUUUUGGUACGUCAGAGUUGGUCACAUUUAGCAUAUAAUGUUAUCUUUGCCGGCUUUGACUGUAUUGCAUUGUUAUUGUAUGUGUUCAGUUGUGCAUUAGCAGUACUGUAAAGCUAAACAUAGCCAUCUGCUCUCAUAAGUCUUGUCCUGUUGGAUUGUAGUCGUCUCCAGUUAUGUCAUUUUGCCUUAAACUUAGCUAUAUUCCGAGCAGCUCAUCUCUAUGAAUGUGUCCUUUUUUGGUGCUGGAUACAGUGGUGGAUGGUUCUUGUCCUAGAGCUGUUUUGUUUAAUCAUCCCUGACAUAACAGUCUGUAGCUAAUCUCAUUCUCCUCCCACUUUCCUCCACUCCUCUAAUA